GUCACUUUAGCGGCACAUACACUCAGCCUGGAACAUUACAGAGAUGAUUAGCAUGACACGUGCUCAAUGAUGGUAUGCAAAUUCAUAAAGACUUCCAUAUUAUU
Small nuclear RNA from Hyaena hyaena (striped hyena), 104 nucleotides. The record is from RefSeq and is a predicted model, not a curated record. NCBI's taxonomy places the organism in Eukaryota, Metazoa, Chordata, Mammalia, Carnivora, Hyaenidae.